CGAAAUGGAAGUCCCAAACAUUCCCUGGUGACCCACGAAAUGGAGCGACGCACCCUGCUGGUUGUGCUGCUGGUGUGCGGCGCCUUGCUGGCCACCACCGCCGAGGCCUCGCCGGUGCCUGGGCCUGAGCCUGAGCCCUGGCGCGAUUCCUACACAAGACCAAGACCCCGACCCCGACCCUACUUCCCGCCACGCUGCUUGUGUGUCAAGGAACCCUGCCCGUGCUGACCUCCUCCACCGUGACCUGACCUUCGCCAUGCCCGCACGAACACCGCCGACGGACCACGGACAACUCUCAUCUUAUUCUUUCAUUGUAUUUACUCCUCAAUAAAGGCAUGCAGUUCUCCCGCAA
Eriocheir sinensis (Chinese mitten crab) is the source of this 352-nucleotide long non-coding RNA. RefSeq lists it as uncharacterized. NCBI's taxonomy places the organism in Eukaryota, Metazoa, Arthropoda, Malacostraca, Decapoda, Varunidae. The record is from RefSeq and is a predicted model, not a curated record. The transcript is spliced from 3 exons.